RNAcentral lists this ribosomal RNA (1717 nucleotides) under human gut metagenome. RNAcentral's name for it is "bacterial LSU rRNA". It matches the Rfam family "Bacterial large subunit ribosomal RNA", at positions 1085 to 2820 of the family's 2925-position model. The record is from RNAcentral.
AUAGACAACUAGGAUGUUGGCUUAGAAGCAGCCAUACAUUUAAAGAGUGCGUAAUAGCUCACUAGUCGAGAGAACCUGCGCCGAAAAUAAUCGGGGCUAAAACACACCACCGAAGCUACGGAUUUCCUGCUUAAGGUAGGAAGUGGUAGAGGAGCAUACUGCAAGGACGAAGCCUGAUUGAGAGAGAAGGUGGACGAAGCAGUAGAGAGAAUGCCGGAAUGAGUAGCGAGAUAUAUGUGAGAACCAUAUAGGCCGAAUAUCUAAGGAUUCCUGAGUGAAGCUAAUCUGCUCAGGGUAAGUCGGGACCUAAGGCGAGGACGAGAGUCGUAGUCGAUGGACAACUGGUAGAGAUUCCAGUACUAUGUAUAAUCAGAACUGUGGGGACGCAGGAGGAUAGAUGGACCGCGGAAAGGGAAGACGCGGCCAAGUACAAAGUCAAGUUAGGUAGGCAAAUCCGCCAAACGAUGAUGAAGUACGACGGGGACUGAAAGAAAGUAAGGAAGUCAUUGAAUCCACACUGCCGAGAAAAGCCGCUAUAGUGUUAUACAUACCCGUACCGUAAACCGACACAGGUAGAUGAGGAGAAAAUCCACAGGCCGACGGGAGAAGUGUUGUUAAGGAACUCGGCAAAAUGACCCCGUAACUUAGGGAGAAGGGGAGCCACGCAAGUGGCCGCAGAAAAGAGGCUCAAGCGACUGUUUAGCAAAAACACAGGUCUCUGCGAAACCGAAAGGUGAAGUAUAGGGGCUGACACCUGCCCGGUGCUGGAAGGUUAAAAGGAGAGGUUCGACGUAAGUCAAAGCUUUGAAUUCAAGCCCCAGUAAACGGCGGCCGUAACUAUAACGGUCCUAAGGUAGCGAAAUUCCUUGUCAGGUAAGUUCUGACCCGCACGAAAGGUGUAACGAUUUGAGCACUGUCUCGACAACACGCCCGGUGAAAUUGAAGAACCAGUGAAGAUACUGGUUACCCGCAACAGGACGGAAAGACCCCAUGGAGCUUUACUGCAGCCUGAUACUGGGAUUCGAUGAUAUAUGUACAGGAUAGGAGGGAGACUAGGAAUCCGGGACGCCAGUUUCGGAGGAGUCGACGGUGGGAUACCUCUCUUAUGUUAUUGGAUUUCUAACUUGGCACCGUGAUCCGGUGUGAGGACAAUGUCAGGCGGGCAGUUUGACUGGGGCGGUCGCCUCCUAAAAGGUAACGGAGGCGCUCGAAGGUCACCUCAGAAUGAUUGGAAACCAUUCAAAGAGUGUAAAGGCAAAAGGUGGCUUGACUGCGACACCGACGGGUGGAGCAGGUACGAAAGUAGGACUUAGUGAUCCGGUGGUAUUAAGUGGGAAUGCCAUCGCUCAACGGAUAAAAGCUACCCUGGGGAUAACAGGCUUAUCUCCCCCAAGAGUUCACAUCGACGGGGAGGUUUGGCACCUCGAUGUCGGCUCAUCGCAUCCUGGGGCUGAAGUAGGUCCCAAGGGUUGGGCUGUUCGCCCAUUAAAGCGGUACGCGAGCUGGGUUCAGAACGUCGUGAGACAGUUCGGUCCCUAUCCGUUGUGGGCGCAGGAAAUUUGAGAGGAGCUGUCCUUAGUACGAGAGGACCGGGAUGGACGUACCUCUGGUGUACCGGUUGCAGACCAACUGCACAGCCGGGUAGCUAUGUAUGGAACGGAUAAACGCUGAAGGCAUCUAAGCGUGAAGCCGCCCUCAAGAUAAGAUUUCCCAUUCU